This 376-nucleotide ribosomal RNA is filed under the name uncultured eukaryote. RNAcentral describes it as "partial 18S ribosomal RNA". It matches the Rfam family "Eukaryotic small subunit ribosomal RNA", at positions 592 to 975 of the family's 1831-position model. The record is from RNAcentral.
CAAUAGCGUAUAUUUAAGUUGUUGCAGUUAAAAAGCUCGUAGUUGGAUUUCGGGUGGGACGCAGCGGUCUCGCAUUGCGUUUGUACUGCUGCAGCCCUCCUUCUUGCCGGGGGCGGCCUCUCGGACUUCACUGUCUGGGGGUCAGAAUCGGCGAUGUUACUUUGAGUAAAUUAGAGUGUUCAAAGCAAGCUUACGCUCUGAAUAUAAUAGCAUGGGAUAACACGACAGGACUCUGGCCUAUCGUGUUGGUCUAUAGGACCAGAGUAAUGAUUAAGAGGGACAGUCGGGGCAUUCGUAUUCCGUUGUCAGAGGUGAAAUUCUUGGAUUUACGGAAGACGAACAUCUGCGAAAGCAUUUGCCAAGGAUGUUUNCAUUG